UGUCUCAUGGUGUAAUGGUAGCACUCCUGAUUUUGGUUCAGUCAGUCCAGGUUCGAAUCCUAGUGAGACAA
RNAcentral lists this transfer RNA (71 nucleotides) under uncultured Paludibacter sp. Its description in RNAcentral is "tRNA-Gln". It matches the Rfam family "tRNA". From Rfam's summary of the family: Transfer RNA (tRNA) molecules are approximately 80 nucleotides in length. Their secondary structure includes four short double-helical elements and three loops (D, anti-codon, and T loops). Further hydrogen bonds mediate the characteristic L-shaped molecular structure. tRNAs have two regions of fundamental functional importance: the anti-codon, which is responsible for specific mRNA codon recognition, and the 3' end, to which the tRNAs corresponding amino acid is attached (by aminoacyl-tRNA synthetases). tRNAs cope with the degeneracy of the genetic code in two manners: having more than one tRNA (with a specific anti-codon) for a particular amino acid; and 'wobble' base-pairing, i.e. permitting non-standard base-pairing at the 3rd anti-codon position. Lineage: Bacteria; Pseudomonadati; Bacteroidota; Bacteroidia; Bacteroidales; Paludibacteraceae. The record is from RNAcentral.